AAUCGGCCACAUUGGGACUGAGACACGGCCCAAACUCCUACGGGAGGCAGCAGUAGGGAAUCUUCCACAAUGGACGAAAGUCUGAUGGAGCAACGCCGCGUGAGUGAAGAAGGGUUUCGGCUCGUAAAACUCUGUUGUUAAAGAAGAACAUAUCUGAGAGUAACUGUUCAGGUAUUGACGGUAUUUAACCAGAAAGCCACGGCUAACUACGUGCCAGCAGCCGCGGUAAUACGUAGGUGGCAAGCGUUGUCCGGAUUUAUUGGGCGUAAAGCGAGCGCAGGCGGUUUUUUAAGUCUGAUGUGAAAGCCUUCGGCUCAACCGAAGAAGUGCAUCGGAAACUGGGAAACUUGAGUGCAGAAGAGGACAGUGGAACUCCAUGUGUAGCGGUGAAAUGCGUAGAUAUAUGGAAGAACACCAGUGGCGAAGGCGGCUGUCUGGUCUGUAACUGACGCUGAGGCUCGAAAGUAUGGGUAGCAAACAGGAUUAGAUACCCUGGUAGUCCAUACCGUAAACGAUGAAUGCUAAGUGUUGGAGGGUUUCCGCCCUUCAGUGCUGCAGCUAACGCAUUAAGCAUUCCGCCUGGGGAGUACGGCCGCAAGGCUGAAACUCAAAGGAAUUGACGGGGGCCCGCACAAGCGGUGGAGCAUGUGGUUUAAUUCGAAGCUACGCGAAGAACCUUACCAGGUCUUGACAUACUAUGCAAAUCUAAGAGAUUAGACGUUCCCUUCGGGGACAUGGAUACAGGUGGUGCAUGGUUGUCGUCAGCUCGUGUCGUGAGAUGUUGGGUUAAGUCCCGCAACGAGCGCAACCCUUAUUAUCAGUUGCCAGCAUUAAGUUGGGCACUCUGGUGAGACUGCCGGUGACAAACCGGAGGAAGGUGGGGAUGACGUCAAAUCAUCAUGCCCCUUAUGACCUGGGCUACACACGUGCUACAAUGGAUGGUACAACGAGUUGCGAACUCGCGAGAGUAAGCUAAUCUCUUAAAGCCAUUCUCAGUUCGGAUUGUAGGCUGCAACUCGCCUACAUGAAG
Molecule: ribosomal RNA, 1030 nt
Filed under: Lactiplantibacillus plantarum
Lineage: Bacteria; Bacillati; Bacillota; Bacilli; Lactobacillales; Lactobacillaceae
Description: bacterial SSU rRNA
Rfam family: Bacterial small subunit ribosomal RNA
Source: RNAcentral